This 468-nucleotide ribosomal RNA is filed under the name uncultured bacterium. Its description in RNAcentral is "partial 16S ribosomal RNA". It matches the Rfam family "Bacterial small subunit ribosomal RNA", at positions 28 to 507 of the family's 1533-position model. The record is from RNAcentral.
GACGAACGCUGGCGGCGUGCUUAACACAUGCAAGUCGAACGGAAAGGCCCUGCUUUUGUGGGGUGCUCGAGUGGCGAACGGGUGAGUAACACGUGAGUAACCUGCCCUUGACUUUGGGAUAACAUCAGGAAACUGGGGCUAAUACCGGAUAGGAGCUCCUGCUGCAUGGUGGGGGUUGGAAAGUUUCGGCGGUUGGGGACGGACUCGCGGCUUAUCAGCUUGUUGGUGGGGUAGUGGCUUACCAAGGCUUUGACGGGUAGCCGGCCUGAGAGGGUGACCGGCCACAUUGGGACUGAGAUACGGCCCAGACUCCUACGGGAGGCAGCAGUGGGGAAUAUUGCACAAUGGGCGGAAGCCUGAUGCAGCAACGCCGCGUGCGGGAUGACGGCCUUCGGGUUGUAAACCGCUUUCGCCUGUGACGAAGCGUGAGUGACGGUAAUGGGUAAAGAAGCACCGGCUAACUACGUG